Unclassified non-coding RNA from Erinaceus europaeus (western European hedgehog), 326 nucleotides. Its record names the gene 7SK. It matches the Rfam family "7SK RNA". Rfam says of the family: 7SK was discovered as an abundant small nuclear RNA in the mid-70s but a possible function has only recently been suggested. Lineage: Eukaryota; Metazoa; Chordata; Mammalia; Eulipotyphla; Erinaceidae. The record is from Ensembl.
GGAUGUGAGGGUGAUCUGGCUGCGACAUCUGUCACCCCAUUGUUCUCCAGGGUUAAUUUGGCUGAUCUGGCCGGCUAGGCAGGUGUCCCCUUCCUCUCUCACUGCUCCAUGUGCAUCCCUCCCAAAGCUGCGAGCUAGGUUGAAGAGGACGGCCUUCCCCAAUUAUAGACAGACCAGUCUUCAAGGGUAUAGGAGUAGCUGCGCUCCCCUGCUAGAACCUCCAAACAAGCUCUCUAUAGUGGAGGAUAGUUCCCUGAAUUCAGGUUUAUCUUAAGAUGGCAUACUAUUCUGUGUGAAUAUUCAGUAUAAGGAUGUGCACAUUUUUU